RNAcentral lists this ribosomal RNA (460 nucleotides) under uncultured bacterium. Its description in RNAcentral is "partial 16S ribosomal RNA". It matches the Rfam family "Bacterial small subunit ribosomal RNA", at positions 338 to 795 of the family's 1533-position model. The record is from RNAcentral.
CCUACGGGCGGCAGCAGUGAGGAAUAUUGGUCAAUGGACGAGAGUCUGAACCAGCCAAGUAGCGUGAAGGAUGACUGCCCUAUGGGUUGUAAACUUCUUUUAUAUGGGAAUAAAACGUUCCACGUGUGGGAUUUUGUAUGUACCAUAUGAAUAAGGAUAGGCUAACUCCGUGCCAGCAGCCGCGGUAAUACGGAGGAUCCGAGCGUUAUCCGGAUUUAUUGGGUUUAAAGGGAGCGUAGGUGGAUUGUUAAGUCAGUUGUGAAAGUUUGCGGCUCAACCGUAAAAUUGCAGUUGAAACUGGCAGUCUUGAGUACAGUAGAGGUGGGCGGAAUUCGUGGUGUAGCGGUGAAAUGCUUAGAUAUCACGAAGAACUCCGAUUGCGAAGGCAGUUCACUGGACUGCAACUGACACUGAGGCUCGAAAGUGUGGGUAUCAAACAGGAUUAGAUACCCCGGUAGUC